AUGUGUUGUUGGGUAGGGGAGCGUUCUGUAAGCCUGUGAAGGUGGCCUGUGAGGGUUGCUGGAGGUAUCAGAAGUGCGAAUGCUGACAUAAGUAACGAUAAAGCGGGUGAAAAGCCCGCUCGCCGGAAGACCAAGGGUUCCUGUCCAACGUUAAUCGGGGCAGGGUGAGUCGACCCCUAAGGCGAGGCCGAAAGGCGUAGUCGAUGGGAAACAGGUUAAUAUUCCUGUACUUGGUGUUACUGCGAAGGGGGGACGGAGAAGGCUAUGUUGGCCGGGCGACGGUUGUCCCGGUUUAAGCGUGUAGGCUGGUUUUCCAGGCAAAUCCGGAAAACCAAGGCUGAGGCGUGAUGACGAGGCACUACGGUGCUGAAGCGACAAAUGCCCUGCUUCCAGGAAAAGCCUCUAAGCAUCAGGUAACAUCAAAUCGUACCCCAAACCGACACAGGUGGUCAGGUAGAGAAUACCAAGGCGCUUGAGAGAACUCGGGUGAAGGAACUAGGCAAAAUGGUGCCGUAACUUCGGGAGAAGGCACGCUGAUAUGUAGGUGAAGCGACUUGCUCGUGGAGCUGAAAUCAGUCGAAGAUACCAGCUGGCUGCAACUGUUUAUUAAAAACACAGCACUGUGCAAACACGAAAGUGGACGUAUACGGUGUGACGCCUGCCCGGUGCCGGAAGGUUAAUUGAUGGGGUUAGCGGUAACGCGAAGCUCUUGAUCGAAGCCCCGGUAAACGGCGGCCGUAACUAUAACGGUCCUAAGGUAGCGAAAUUCCUUGUCGGGUAAGUUCCGACCUGCACGAAUGGCGUAAUGAUGGCCAGGCUGUCUCCACCCGAGACUCAGUGAAAUUGAACUCGCUGUGAAGAUGCAGUGUACCCGCGGCAAGACGGAAAGACCCCGUGAACCUUUACUAUAGCUUGACACUGAACAUUGAGCCUUGAUGUGUAGGAUAGGUGGGAGGCUUUGAAGUGUGGACGCCAGUCUGCAUGGAGCCGACCUUGAAAUACCACCCUUUAAUGUUUGAUGUUCUAACGUUGGCCCGUAAUCCGGGUUGCGGACAGUGUCUGGUGGGUAGUUUGACUGGGGCGGUCUCCUCCUAAAGAGUAACGGAGGAGCACGAAGGUUGGCUAAUCCUGGUCGGACAUCAGGAGGUUAGUGCAAUGGCAUAAGCCAGCUUGACUGCGAGCGUGACGGCGCGAGCAGGUGCGAAAGCAGGUCAUAGUGAUCCGGUGGUUCUGAAUGGAAGGGCCAUCGCUCAACGGAUAAAAGGUACUCCGGGGAUAACAGGCUGAUACCGCCCAAGAGUUCAUAUCGACGGCGGUGUUUGGCACCUCGAUGUCGGCUCAUCACAUCCUGGGGCUGAAGUAGGUCCCAAGGGUAUGGCUGUUCGCCAUUUAAAGUGGUACGCGAGCUGGGUUUAGAACGUCGUGAGACAGUUCGGUCCCUAUCUGCCGUGGGCGCUGGAGAACUGAGGGGGGCUGCUCCUAGUACGAGAGGACCGGAGUGGACGCAUCACUGGUGUUCGGGUUGUCAUGCCAAUGGCACUGCCCGGUAGCUAAAUGCGGAAGAGAUAAGUGCUGAAAGCAUCUAAGCACGAAACUUGCCCCGAGAUGAGUUCUCCCUGAGACUUAGAGUCUCCUGAAGGAACGUUGAAGACGACGACGUUGAUAGGCCGGGUGUGUAAGCGCAGCGAUGCGUUGAGCUAACCGGUACUAAUGAACCGUGAGGCUUAACCUUACAACGCCGAAGCUGUU
Molecule: ribosomal RNA, 1749 nt
Filed under: Escherichia coli
Lineage: Bacteria; Pseudomonadati; Pseudomonadota; Gammaproteobacteria; Enterobacterales; Enterobacteriaceae
Description: partial 23S ribosomal RNA
Rfam family: Bacterial large subunit ribosomal RNA
Source: RNAcentral